Molecule: long non-coding RNA, 235 nt
Organism: Melospiza georgiana
Lineage: Eukaryota; Metazoa; Chordata; Aves; Passeriformes; Passerellidae
Exons: 2
Source: RefSeq, a predicted model, not a curated record
UGUCGGUGUCGGUGCCGGUGCCCACAGCCGUGCCCACAGCCGGUGCCGGUGCCCACAGCCGGUGCCGGUGCCGCCCGUGCCUGCCGGGGGUGCGGGCCCGGCCCCAGAGCGGAGGAUGCUGCAGCGGGGGCACCCCGGGAAGAGGCAUGCCCGGCUUUGCCAGCGGCGCGGCGCGGGGGCACGGGCUGUACGCUGAGGAACCGCAAUAAAGCCGCCCCCUCUGGGCUCCUGCCAA